UCCAGGCUGGAGUGCAGUGGCAUGAUCAUGGCUCACUGCAGCAUUGACCUGGGCUCAAGCCAUCUUCCCAUCUCAGCCUCCUGAGUAACCGGGACUACAGAUGCACGCCACUGCACCCAGCUAAUUUUUAGUUAUUUGUAGAGACAGGGGUCUCCCUACGUGGCCCAGGCUGGUCUUGAACUUCUGGGCUCAAGUGGUCCUCCCACCUUAGCCUCCCAAAGUGUUGGGAUUACAGAUGUGAGCCAUUGCACUUGGCCCUAUAUAUAUUUUUUUAAAGAGAGACAGGGUCUCACCACGUUGUCCAGGCUGGCCUCAAACUCCUGGGCUCAAGCAAUCCUCCCAUCUCAGCCUCCCAAUGUGCUGGGAUUACAAGGCCACUGCGCUUGGCCUAAAUUUGAAUUUCAGAUAAACAGGAAUAAUUUACUUAGUGUAUGUCCCCCAAAUUGCAUCCUGUUUAUUAGCUAAAUCUGGCAACCCUAAACCCAAGCCAUACCCAGUGCUCUAAAUGCAGGUCUGUCCCUUGGCCCAGUGUUUCUGUAAAAAGCCUUCGGAGGUGGCCGUGGUGCACAGGCGUGUGCCUGUGGUCCCAGCUACUCGGAGGCUGAGGUGGGAGGAUUGCCGGAACCGGGGAAGUGGAAGCAGCAGUGAGCAGAGAUUGUGCCACUGUGCUGCAUCCUGGGUGACAGAGUGAGACCCUGUCUCAAAAAGAAAAAAGCCUCAGGAGAGCCGGACUUUCCUGUCAUAGGUGCUUUGCUCUUUCUCCUCGGGUGCUUGAAAAACAUUUUGUUUUGAGGCUUAACUUCAGCGAAUUGUGUCUGAUGCCUGUUGUUCAUGCCCUUUGUUUUCUGGGAUUUUUCCCCCUUUUGUCUUAAGAUUCAUUUCAGGAUUUCCUGGGUUUUAUCUUGAGUGUUUGCUCUUUGCUUGCAUUGUCAGUCUCUGCAUCCUAGACGCACGUUAUUCUUAUGACUGUAUUAUCUCUGUCCACUGCCACUCGGGGUCCC
RNAcentral lists this long non-coding RNA (1001 nucleotides) under Homo sapiens (human). Its description in RNAcentral is "non-protein coding lnc-MAPK15-4:1". Lineage: Eukaryota; Metazoa; Chordata; Mammalia; Primates; Hominidae. The record is from RNAcentral.